AUUGAACGCUGGCGGCAGGCUUAACACAUGCAAGUCGAGCGAGCGGCGGACGGGUGAGUAAUGUUUGGGAAACUGCCUGAUGGAGGGGGAUAACUACUGGAAACGGUAGCUAAUACCGCAUACCAUCAGAUGUGCCCAGAUGGGAUUAGCGAGUAGGUGGGGUAAUGGCUCACCUAGGCGACGAUCCCUAGCUGGUCUGAGAGGAUGACCAGCCACCCUGGAACUGAGACACGGUCCUGACUCCUACGGGAGGCCGCAGUGGGAAGUAUUGCACAAUGAGCGCAAGCCUGAUGCAGCCAUGCCGCGUGUAGGAGGAAGACCUUCGGGUUGUAAAGUACUUGCAGCGGGGAGGCGUUACCCGAAGAGGAAGCACCGGCUAACUCCGUGCCAGCAGCCGCGGUAAUUC
RNAcentral lists this ribosomal RNA (406 nucleotides) under uncultured bacterium. RNAcentral describes it as "partial 16S ribosomal RNA". It matches the Rfam family "Bacterial small subunit ribosomal RNA", at positions 30 to 526 of the family's 1533-position model. The record is from RNAcentral.